GACCCGAAACACUUAGAGGGCCAGGGCU
This 28-nucleotide non-coding RNA is filed under the name Bombyx mori (domestic silkworm). The record is from RNAcentral. Lineage: Eukaryota; Metazoa; Arthropoda; Insecta; Lepidoptera; Bombycidae.